GACGAACGCUGGCGGCGUGCCUAAUACAUGCAAGUAGAACGCUGAAGAGAGGAGCUUGCUCUUCUUGGCUGAGUUGCGAACGGGUGAGUAACGCGUAGGUAACCUGCCUUGUAGCGGGGGAUAACUAUUGGAAACGAUAGCUAAUACCGCAUAACAAUGGAUGACACAUGUCAUUUAUUUGAAAGGGGCAAUUGCUCCACUACAAGAUGGACCUGCGUUGUAUUAGCUAGUAGGUGAGGUAAUGGCCCACCUAGGCGACGAUACAUAGCCGACCUGAGAGGGUGAUCGGCCACACUGGGACUGAGACACGGCCCAGACUCCUACGGGAGGCAGCAGUAGGGAAUCUUCGGCAAUGGGGGCAACCCUGACCGAGCAACGCCGCGUGAGUGAAGAAGGUUUUCGGAUCGUAAAGCUCUGUUGUAAGUCAAGAACGGGUGUGAGAGUGGAAAGUUCACGCUGUGACGGUAGCUUACCAGAAAGGGACGGCUAACUACGUG
This 497-nucleotide ribosomal RNA is filed under the name uncultured bacterium. RNAcentral's name for it is "partial 16S ribosomal RNA". It matches the Rfam family "Bacterial small subunit ribosomal RNA", at positions 28 to 507 of the family's 1533-position model. The record is from RNAcentral.